AUUGAACGCUGGCGGCAGGCCUAACACAUGCAAGUCGAGCGGAUGAAGGGAGCUUGCUCCUGGAUUCAGCGGCGGACGGGUGAGUAAUGCCUAGGAAUCUGCCUGGUAGUGGGGGAUAACGUCCGGAAACGGGCGCUAAUACCGCAUACGUCCUGAGGGAGAAAGUGGGGGAUCUUCGGACCUCACGCUAUCAGAUGAGCCUAGGUCGGUUUAGCUAGUUGGUGGGGUAAAGGCCUACCAAGGCGACGAUCCGUAACUGGUCUGAGAGGAUGAUCAGUCACACUGGAACUGAGACACGGUCCAGACUCCUACGGGAGGCAGCAGUGGGGAAUUUUGGACAAUGGGCGAAAGCCUGAUCCAGCCAUGCCGCGUGUGUGAAGAAGGUCUUCGGAUUGUAAAGCACUUUAAGUUGGGAGGAAGGGCAGUAAGUUAAUACCUUGCUGUUUUGACGUUACCAACAGAAUAAGCACCGGCUAACUUCGU
This 483-nucleotide ribosomal RNA is filed under the name uncultured bacterium. RNAcentral describes it as "partial 16S ribosomal RNA". It matches the Rfam family "Bacterial small subunit ribosomal RNA", at positions 30 to 506 of the family's 1533-position model. The record is from RNAcentral.